Pelobates cultripes (western spadefoot toad) is the source of this 227-nucleotide non-coding RNA. The record is from the annotation of a GenBank genome assembly. NCBI's taxonomy places the organism in Eukaryota, Metazoa, Chordata, Amphibia, Anura, Pelobatidae.
GUCCCUGUUGGCCCAGGGCCUCACGAUCCUUGAACGCCCCUCUCCCCCGAUAUGGCUGGCGUUGGAGAACGCCUGCACACCUAAUGGCUCAAUCCCACUAUCCCUGUGGGCAGGGUCAAAACUUCCCAAAGCCACAUCCUUGCUGCCCACCACAGUCGCGCUCUUUCAUAACUGGAAGCAAACUACACCGCUCUUCUUACGAAAUAACGACCUACUCCUAGCUGCCC